UCCUAGGGUAACCUGCGGAAGGAUCAUUACUGAGUGAGGGCCCUCUGGGUCCAACCUCCCACCCGUGUUUAUUAUACCUUGUUGCUUCGGCGGGCCCGCCGUAAGGCCGCCGGGGGGCUUCUGCCCCCGGGCCCGCGCCCGCCGAAGACAUCUCGAACUCUGUCUGAAGAUUGUAGUCUGAGUAUAAAUAUAAAUUAUUUAAAACUUUCAACAACGGAUCUCUUGGUUCCGGCAUCGAUGAAGAACGCAGCGAAAUGCGAUACGUAAUGUGAAUUGCAGAAUUCAGUGAAUCAUCGAGUCUUUGAACGCACAUUGCGCCCUCUGGUAUUCCGGAGGGCAUGCCUGUCCGAGCGUCAUUGCUGCCCUCAAGCACGGCUUGUGUGUUGGGCCCCGUCCUCCGAUCCCGGGGGACGGGCCCGAAAGGCAGCGGCGGCACCGCGUCCGGUCCUCGAGCGUAUGGGGCUUUGUCACCCGCUCUGUAGGCCCGGCCGGCGCUUGCCGAUCAACCAAAUUUUUAUCCAGGUUGACCUCGGAUCAGGUAGGGAUACCCGCUGAACUUAAGCAUAUCAAUAG
RNAcentral lists this ribosomal RNA (573 nucleotides) under Penicillium sp. GBPI_P101. Its description in RNAcentral is "eukaryotic LSU rRNA". The stretch from base 203 to 356 matches the Rfam family "5.8S ribosomal RNA". Lineage: Eukaryota; Fungi; Ascomycota; Eurotiomycetes; Eurotiales; Aspergillaceae. The record is from RNAcentral.